GAUGAACGCUGGCGGCGUGCCUAAUACAUGCAAGUCGAGCGAACGGACGAGAAGCUUGCUUCUCUGAUGUUAGCGGCGGACGGGUGAGUAACACGUGGAUAACCUACCUAUAAGACUGGGAUAACUUCGGGAAACCGGAGCUAAUACCGUAUAAUAUUUUGAACCGCAUGGUUCAAAAGUGAAAGACGGUCUUGCUGUCACUUAUAGAUGGAUCUGCGCUGCAUUAGGUAGUUGGUAAGGUAACGGCUUACCAAGGCAACGAUGCAUAGCCGACCUGAGAGGGUGAUCGGCCACACUGGAACUUAAACACGGUCCAUACUCCUACGGUAGGCAGCAGUAGGGAAUCUUCCGCAAUAGUCGAAAACAUUACACAACAACGCCACGUGAGUUAUGAAGAUCUUCCGAUCGUAAAACUCUGUUAUUAGGUAAGAACAUAUUUCUAAUUAACUGUACACAUAUUGACGGUACCUAAUCAAAAAGCCACGGCUAACUACGUG
RNAcentral lists this ribosomal RNA (497 nucleotides) under uncultured bacterium. Its description in RNAcentral is "partial 16S ribosomal RNA". It matches the Rfam family "Bacterial small subunit ribosomal RNA", at positions 28 to 507 of the family's 1533-position model. The record is from RNAcentral.